Hyaena hyaena (striped hyena) is the source of this 106-nucleotide small nuclear RNA. The record is from RefSeq and is a predicted model, not a curated record. NCBI's taxonomy places the organism in Eukaryota, Metazoa, Chordata, Mammalia, Carnivora, Hyaenidae.
GUGCUUGCUUCUGCAGCACAUGUACUAAUACUGGAACAAUACAGAGAAGAUCAGCAUGGCCCCUGUGCAAGGAUGAUAUGCAGUUCGUGAAGCCUUCCAUAUUUUU